AAGAUGGUGCUGAGUAGACAGUUUUGGAGAAAUGCCUGCUAAAACAGACCUGUCAUCUAACUGUGACCGCAAGUGAAUGUUUCACAGAGAAACAAACCAAUUUCUAGUUUAAUCAUUGGCUAUGAAGCAGUUUUGUGCUCACACUUUUAGCAUGUCUCAGCUGCUGCCAGUCAACAUGUGCUCUUUAAGCAUGGAAAAUAAUGCAGGACUUUAUAGGAGAGCUGUGCUGAUGCUUUGAAUGAGAUGGCUAUUUGGUAAGCUGGAGUCAUAAAAGGCUUUCCUUUUUCAUCAGAAGGAUUUUCUACAAAGCCUGGGAGAGAUCCUGUGCUUCAGUUAGAACAAGCCCAGUUGAUACAUACCAUCCCCAUACAACUGCUGACU
RNAcentral lists this long non-coding RNA (381 nucleotides) under Parus major (Great Tit). Its description in RNAcentral is "lncRNA (ENSPMJG00000016280.1)". Lineage: Eukaryota; Metazoa; Chordata; Aves; Passeriformes; Paridae. The record is from RNAcentral.